CCGGCCGUGGUGGAUCCGGCCGAGCCGCAGCCGCUGCGCCCGGCCGACGCGAGCGUCCGCUUCGAGCGGGUGACGUUCGCGUACGCCGACGGCCGGCCC
RNAcentral lists this transfer RNA (99 nucleotides) under Microbispora corallina. Its description in RNAcentral is "tRNA-Arg". The record is from RNAcentral. Lineage: Bacteria; Bacillati; Actinomycetota; Actinomycetes; Streptosporangiales; Streptosporangiaceae.